RNAcentral lists this ribosomal RNA (429 nucleotides) under Pseudomonadota bacterium. Its description in RNAcentral is "Proteobacteria bacterium partial 16S ribosomal RNA". It matches the Rfam family "Bacterial small subunit ribosomal RNA", at positions 355 to 776 of the family's 1533-position model. Lineage: Bacteria; Pseudomonadati; Pseudomonadota. The record is from RNAcentral.
UGGGGAAUAUUGGACAAUGGACGAAAGCCUGAUCCAGCCAUGCCGCGUGUGUGAAGAAGGUCUUCGGAUUGUAAAGCACUUUAAGUUGGGAGGAAGGGCAGUAAGCGAAUACCUUGCUGUUUUGACGUUACCGACAGAAUAAGCACCGGCUAACUCUGUGCCAGCAGCCGCGGUAAUACAGAGGGUGCAAGCGUUAAUCGGAAUUACUGGGCGUAAAGCGCGCGUAGGUGGUUCGUUAAGUUGAAUGUGAAAGCCCCGGGCUCAACCUGGGAACUGCAUCCAAAACUGGCGAGCUAGAGUAGGGCAGAGGGUGGUGGAAUUUCCUGUGUAGCGGUGAAAUGCGUAGAUAUAGGAAGGAACACCAGUGGCGAAGGCGACCACCUGGGCUCAUACUGACACUGAGGUGCGAAAGCGUGGGGAGCAAACAGG